Molecule: long non-coding RNA, 240 nt
Filed under: Capsicum annuum
Lineage: Eukaryota; Viridiplantae; Streptophyta; Magnoliopsida; Solanales; Solanaceae
Description: long non-coding RNA (CANN_LNC014334)
Source: RNAcentral
UUGUAACCCAUCAACAUAUGAAACACAUAACCUCCUUUGGUACAGCAAGGUACCAUCACCACUGAUCUCAAAUACGAUUACAUUUUUUCGACCUACAUCACCCUUGAUUCUCAUCAAGACAGAAUCUAGAAUUUGCUUCUCCUUAAUCUCUACACCAAGAAAUGACCGACAUUGCAUCACUAUUCUUGAGUCCAAAAGGAGAACUCUAAGAUUAGCCAUGCGGGGAAUAUCCCUCUCCAA